RNAcentral lists this ribosomal RNA (451 nucleotides) under Clostridioides difficile. RNAcentral's name for it is "bacterial SSU rRNA". It matches the Rfam family "Bacterial small subunit ribosomal RNA", at positions 167 to 637 of the family's 1533-position model. The record is from RNAcentral. Lineage: Bacteria; Bacillati; Bacillota; Clostridia; Peptostreptococcales; Peptostreptococcaceae.
UACGGGAUAAUAUAUUUGAGAGGCAUCUCUUGAAUAUCAAAGGUGAGCCAGUACAGGAUGGACCCGCGUCUGAUUAGCUAGUUGGUAAGGUAACGGCUUACCAAGGCGACGAUCAGUAGCCGACCUGAGAGGGUGAUCGGCCACAUUGGAACUGAGACACGGUCCAAACUCCUACGGGAGGCAGCAGUGGGGAAUAUUGCACAAUGGGCGAAAGCCUGAUGCAGCAACGCCGCGUGAGUGAUGAAGGCCUUCGGGUCGUAAAACUCUGUCCUCAAGGAAGAUAAUGACGGUACUUGAGGAGGAAGCCCCGGCUAACUACGUGCCAGCAGCCGCGGUAAUACGUAGGGGGCUAGCGUUAUCCGGAUUUACUGGGCGUAAAGGGUGCGUAGGCGGUCUUUCAAGUCAGGAGUGAAAGGCUACGGCUCAACCGUAGUAAGCUCUUGAAACUGGG